Molecule: unclassified non-coding RNA, 277 nt
Filed under: Melitaea cinxia (Glanville fritillary)
Lineage: Eukaryota; Metazoa; Arthropoda; Insecta; Lepidoptera; Nymphalidae
Description: misc RNA ENSMCXG00005016019.1
Source: RNAcentral
UCGACCUACGUUGUAUUAUACCGCAUAACUUUCUACUGGAUGUACCGAUUAUGAUAAUUCUUUUUUUGUUGGAAAGGGGAUAUCCCUAGUUUGGAAACCAGGAUCUGAUAAUGGGAUCCCAGAGAAAUCGAGGGAACUUCUUGAAAUUCCGCAAUAACUUUUUACUGGGUGUACCGAUUUUAAUAAUUUUUAAUUUAAUCAAAAGCUGAUGUUUGUCAUGUGGUCACAUAUAAAUUUCAUUGAGAUCUGAUAACUACUUUUUGAGUAAUCUUUGAUA